RNAcentral lists this unclassified non-coding RNA (336 nucleotides) under soil metagenome. RNAcentral's name for it is "partial contains 5.8S ribosomal RNA, internal transcribed spacer 2, and large subunit ribosomal RNA". The stretch from base 1 to 120 matches the Rfam family "5.8S ribosomal RNA", at positions 35 to 154 of the family's 154-position model. The record is from RNAcentral.
GAUGAAGAACGCAGCGAAAUGCGAUAAGUAGUGUGAAUUGCAGAAUUCAGUGAAUCAUCGAAUCUUUGAACGCACAUUGCGCCCCUUGGUAUUCCAUGGGGCAUGCCUGUUCGAGCGUCAUUUGUACCUUCAAGCUUUGCUUGGUGUUGGGUGUUUGUCUCGCCUUUGCGUGUAGACUCGCCUUAAAAUAAUUGGCAGCCGGCGUAUUGAUUUCGGAGCGCAGUACAUCUCGCGCUUUGCACUCAUAACGACAGCGUCCUAAAGUACAUUUUACACUCUUGACCUCGGAUCAGGUAGGGAUACCCGCUGAACUUAAGCAUAUCAAUAAGCGGAGGA